This 253-nucleotide ribosomal RNA is filed under the name uncultured bacterium. RNAcentral describes it as "partial 16S ribosomal RNA". It matches the Rfam family "Bacterial small subunit ribosomal RNA", at positions 524 to 776 of the family's 1533-position model. The record is from RNAcentral.
UACGAAGGGGGCUAGCGUUGCUCGGAAUCACUGGGCGUAAAGGGUGCGUAGGCGGGUCUUUAAGUCAGGGGUGAGAUCCUGGAGCUCAACUCCAGAACUGCCUUUGAUACUGAAGAUCUUGAGUUCGGGAGAGGUGAGUGGAACUGCGAGUGUAGAGGUGAAAUUCGUAGAUAUUCGCAAGAACACCAGUGGCGAAGGCGGCUCACUGGCCCGAUACUGACGCUGAGGCACGAAAGCGUGGGGAGCGAACAGG